AUGAACGCUAGCGACAGGCCUAACACAUGCAAGUCAGGGGCAGCACAAGGAGCAAUCUGAGGUGGCGACCGGCGCACGGGUGAGUAACACGUAUGCAACCUGCCUGUAAGCGGGGAAUAACCCGUUGAAAGACGGACUAAUACCGCAUAAUACUAAAUUACUGCAUGGUAAUUUAUUUAAACAUUUAUGGCUUACAGAUGGGCAUGCGCAUGAUUAGCUAGUUGGAGAGGUAACGGCUCCCCAAGGCAACGAUCAUUAGGGGUUCUGAGAGGAAGGUCCCCCACACUGGUACUGAGACACGGACCAGACUCCUACGGGAGGCAGCAGUGAGGAAUAUUGGUCAAUGGACGAGAGUCUGAACCAGCCAAGUCGCGUGCAGGAAGAAUUGUCCUUAUGGAUUAGUAAACUGCUUUUGCAGGGGAAUAAAGUGCAUCACGUGUGAUGUUUUGUAUGUACUCUGCGAAUAAGGAUCGGCUAACUCCGUGCCAGCCGCCGC
RNAcentral lists this ribosomal RNA (496 nucleotides) under uncultured bacterium. RNAcentral describes it as "bacterial SSU rRNA". It matches the Rfam family "Bacterial small subunit ribosomal RNA", at positions 29 to 518 of the family's 1533-position model. The record is from RNAcentral.